RNAcentral lists this RNase P RNA (408 nucleotides) under Candidatus Margulisiibacteriota bacterium. RNAcentral describes it as "RNase P RNA component class A". It matches the Rfam family "Bacterial RNase P class A". From Rfam's summary of the family: Ribonuclease P (RNase P) is a ubiquitous endoribonuclease, found in archaea, bacteria and eukarya as well as chloroplasts and mitochondria. Its best characterised activity is the generation of mature 5'-ends of tRNAs by cleaving the 5'-leader elements of precursor-tRNAs. Cellular RNase Ps are ribonucleoproteins. The record is from RNAcentral. Lineage: Bacteria; Bacillati; Candidatus Margulisiibacteriota.
CGGGCAGGCUGGAUGGUCGCCCCUCGACUCCGCCGCAAGCGGCGUCGCUCGGGGAGGAAAGUCCGGACUCCAUAGAGCAGCGUGGUUGCUAACGGCAACUGGGAAUAAAAGCCCAAGGAAAGUGGCACAGAAAAUACACGGCCCACUUCAACUCUAAAGGUUGGAAGGCAAAGGUGAAACUGGGAGGUAAGAGCUCCCACACGACAGCUAGGCAACUAGCGGUGCGCUAAACCCCACGCGGAGCAAGACCAAAUAGGGAAAGAGCUAGCUCGGCUCGUUAUAUCCCGAGUAGGUCGCAACGAGGCAAACAGCAAUGUUUACCCCAGAUAGAUGACUAUCUCCUCCGAAGUCCCGACGAUAGUCGGGACGAAGGAGGAACAGAAUCCGGCUUAUAGGCCUGCCCCUCUA